RNAcentral lists this ribosomal RNA (465 nucleotides) under uncultured bacterium. Its description in RNAcentral is "SSU rRNA". It matches the Rfam family "Bacterial small subunit ribosomal RNA", at positions 26 to 518 of the family's 1533-position model. The record is from RNAcentral.
AGCCUGAACGCUGGCGGCGUGGCUAAGACAUGUAAGUCGAACGGUGUAGCAAUACACAGUGGCGAACGGGUGAGUAAUGUAUCGCUAACGUACCCUUAUGUCAGGGAUAGCCGGGGGAAACUCCGGGUAAUACCUGAUGAAAUUCCUUUUUCGCAUGGAAAAGGACUCAAAGGAGCAAUCCGCAAAAGGAGCGGGCGAUAUCGUAUCAGCUAGUUGGUGAGGUAACGGCUCACCAAGGCGACGACGCGUAGCCGGGCUGAGAGGUCAGCCGGCCACAUUGGGACUGAGACACUGCCCAGACUCCUACGGGGGGCUGCAGUAACGAAUCUUCCGCAAUGCACGCAAGUGUGACGGAGCGACGCCGCGUGUGGGACGAAGUCCUUCGGGAUGUAAACCACUGUCAGGGGUAAGAAAGUUCUGAUCUACCCCAGAGGAAGGCACGGCUAACUCUGCGCCAGCAGCCGC